GACGAACGCUGGCGGCGUGCUUAACACAUGCAAGUCGAACGGAAAGGCCUCUUUCGGGGGGUACUCGAGUGGCGAACGGGUGAGUAACACGUGAGUAACCUGCCCUUGACUUUGGGAUAACUUCAGGAAACUGGGGCUAAUACCGGAUAGGAGCUCCUGCUGCAUGGUGGGGGUUGGAAAGUUUCGGCGGUUGGGGAUGGGCUCGCGGCUUAUCAGCUUGUUGGUGGGGGAGUGGCUUACCAAGGCUUUGACGGGUAGCCGGCCUGAGAGGGUGACCGGCCACAUUGGGACUGAGAUACGGCCCCGACUCCUACGGGAGGCAGCAGUGGGGAAUAGUGCACAAUGGGUGGAAGCCUGAUGCAGCAACGCCGUGUGCGGGAUGACGGCCUUCGGGUUGUAAACCGCUUUCGCUCAUGACGAAGCUUUGUGUGACGGUAGUGGGUAAAGAAGCACCGGCUAACUACGUG
This 467-nucleotide ribosomal RNA is filed under the name uncultured bacterium. RNAcentral's name for it is "partial 16S ribosomal RNA". It matches the Rfam family "Bacterial small subunit ribosomal RNA", at positions 28 to 507 of the family's 1533-position model. The record is from RNAcentral.